AUUGAACGCUGGCGGAAUGCUUUACACAUGCAAGUCGAACGGCAGCACGGACUUCGGUCUGGUGGUGAGUGGCGAACGGGUGAGUAAUGUAUCGGAACGUGCCCAGUCGUGGGGGAUAACGUAGUGAAAAUUACGCUAAUACCGCAUACGAUCUAUGGAUGAAAGCGGGGGAUCGCAAGACCUCGCGCGAUUGGAGCGGCCGAUAUCAGAUUAGGUAGUUGGUGGGGUAGAGGCCCACCAAGCCAACGAUCUGUAGCUGGUCUGAGAGGACGACCAGCCACACUGGAACUGAGACACGGUCCAGACUCCUACGGGAGGCAGCAGUGGGGAAUUUUGGACAAUGGGCGCAAGCCUGAUCCAGCCAUUCCGCGUGCAGGAUGAAGGCCCUCGGGUUGUAAACUGCUUUUGUACAGAACGAAAAGGUUUCUACUAAUACUAGGAGCUCAUGACGGUACUGUAAGAAUAAGCACCGGCUAACUACGUGCCAGCAGCCGCCGUAA
This 500-nucleotide ribosomal RNA is filed under the name uncultured bacterium. RNAcentral describes it as "partial 16S ribosomal RNA". It matches the Rfam family "Bacterial small subunit ribosomal RNA", at positions 30 to 523 of the family's 1533-position model. The record is from RNAcentral.